Molecule: long non-coding RNA, 865 nt
Organism: Apodemus sylvaticus (European woodmouse)
Lineage: Eukaryota; Metazoa; Chordata; Mammalia; Rodentia; Muridae
Exons: 5
Source: RefSeq, a predicted model, not a curated record
AUCCAGAAGGUUAUAGAAGCAGAAAACAGUAGCGAAGGAAGAGUAGACUUUGGGUGCAUUGCCUAUGAGUCAGGCAGGGAACGCCAGGGACAGCUCUCAAGAAUCCUUAGGCUUUUCAAGAAGAGGAUGUCGACAUUUCCAGUACAGAUGGGCAACGCCACCAGCUCUUCUGGCUACAGCUCUUCUUUCUUUAAACCUCCUUUGAAGCCUCAGCCAAGCACAUGCAUGAUUAACACACACAGACAGGUGAUGGAUGACAGGAAUAAUAAAUUCCAUCCCAACACAGAACGAAGAUCCACAGAUGAGAGCACCUCUCAACUCCCAUCAGAGAAGCUUCUUACAGUCAGACAAUAAUUGGGAGAGAUCCAGAAGAGGUCAAUGGGAAAAGAGUGAGACACUCUGUGGAGUUCUCAGUCAUAAAUGAGAGGUUCAGAGGUUCAGUCCAUUAUCAUCAAGGCGGGAACAUGGCCGCACCCAGGCAGGCCUGGUGCAGGAGGAGCUGAGAGUUCUACAUCUUCAUCUGACGGCUGCUAGGAGAAGACUGGCUUCCAGGCAGCUAGGAUGAGGGUCUAAAAGACCACACUCACAGUGACACACCUACUCCAACAGUGCCACAUCUUCUAAUAGUGCCACUCCCUGGGCUGAGCAUAUACAAACCAUCACUGGAGGUUAGAAUAGGGAGGGUGGAUAUUGAAGAAGCUGGGAGGGCUCAAUACAACAAAAAUGUAUGGUAUAUAAUUCUGAAAGAAUUAAAAAAUAUUUUUUUUAAAAAAAGGAAUGUAUUCAUCCUAGCAAUGUCAAUUUUAGGAAGUAUGAAACAGAAGUUGAGAGAACAGAGUGAUUUUUUUCAAGAGGCAAAUGGCAG